UAAGGAAUAUUGGUCAAUGGACGCAAGUCUGAACCAGCCAUGCCGCGUGAAGGAUGAAGGUCCUCUGGAUUGUAAACUUCUUUUAUCUGGGACGAAAACGGGAUUUUUAUCUCAAUUGACGGUACCAGAGGAAUAAGCACCGGCUAACUCCGUGCCAGCAGCCGCGGUAAUACGGAGGGUGCGAGCGUUAUCCGGAUUUACUGGGUUUAAAGGGUGCGCAGGCGGGAUAAAAAGUCAGUGGUGAAAUCCUACAGCUUAACUGUAGAACUGCCUUUUAUACCUUUAUUCUUUAGUUCGGGAGAGAGAGACGAAAUUCCAGGUGUAGUGGUGAAAAACGUAGAUAUCUGGAAUCACACCAGUUGCGAAGGCG
Molecule: ribosomal RNA, 370 nt
Filed under: uncultured bacterium
Lineage: Bacteria
Description: bacterial SSU rRNA
Rfam family: Bacterial small subunit ribosomal RNA
Source: RNAcentral